Molecule: transfer RNA, 91 nt
Filed under: Tremellales sp. Tagirdzhanova-0007
Lineage: Eukaryota; Fungi; Basidiomycota; Tremellomycetes; Tremellales
Rfam family: tRNA
About the family: Transfer RNA (tRNA) molecules are approximately 80 nucleotides in length. Their secondary structure includes four short double-helical elements and three loops (D, anti-codon, and T loops).
Source: Rfam by way of RNAcentral
GGGCAGGUGGCCGAGUGGUUAAGGCGGCAGCUUCAGGUUUCCUUUUCCGCUGUUCCAGCAAUGGGCGCGCGUUCGAAUCGCGUCCUGCUCA